CUUUUUCUUAAGAGGUGAAGUCAUUUGCUGUUUUUUUAUUUUUUGGUACGCUGCUUUGGUACAAUAACAAAAUAGUGGGGUAUUGGCUAUGGGAGGCUUUGAUUGUCUCAGGCAUCAGCUUGACAUUCCGUAGAUGGGGGUAGUUUUUAUAGCCUGUAAUACAGAGCAUACUAAAUGGCUAUUUGGAGUCAGUCGUGCAUUUAAUAUGUCUCGAACAUUUUAAAUUACUUCUAUUCCCAUGUUACUUUUGGUAGAAGUGUUUCCUAAAGAAAACCACUCCUUAAUCUUAGCUCUCCCUGCAGAAUUUUGUGCACUCUAUAACAUCUUUUGUCAUGAUAGUCCAGUUUUCCUAGUAAUUUUGUUAACAUGCUGUGAAAGGUUGAAAACUUGAGUGUGUAGUGUAUGUGGUACUAAAUUGUGAAUUAGUGGUACUAAUGAUGUAACAGGUGUCAACAUUUGAAGAUAUUCGUACUUGAUAUCCUGUUAAGGGAAAUUUGCCUCCAAAUUUUAAGCUGGAAAGUCACGCGAAUAACCAUUUAGAAAAGAAUCACAACUAUGUGAUUUCUUUUUUCUUUUUUUUUAAAGAUUGGCACCUGAGCUGACAUCUGUUGCCAAUCUUCUUUUUUUCUUCUUCUUCUUCUCCCUGAAGCCCCUCAGUACAUAGUUGUAUAUUUUAGUUGCAGGCCCUUUUGGUUGUGUUGUGUGGGAUGCCACCUCAGCAUGGCCUAAUGAGCGGUGCCAUGUCCACGCCCAGGAUCCAAACCAGUGAAACCCUGGGCCACCGAAGUGGAGCACAUGAACUUAACCACUUGGCCAUGGGGCUGAUCCCACAACUCUGUGAUUUCUUAGAUUUUUGGUACAUAUGUUAAGAAUUGUGUACAGAUUGAAAUGUUUGUGUACUGAUCCUCAAAACAACCAAUAAAAUCUCAAUUAUGAAAGAAAAUAAGAACAUUAAAAUCAUAUCAAGCAUCUUUUCUGACAACAAUGCUAUGAAACUAGAAAUUGACUACAAGAAAAAAGCUGGGAAAGUCACAAAUGUGUGGAGACUAGACAACAUGUUACUGAACAACCACUGGAUCAAUCAAGAAAUCAAAGGAGAAAUAAAAAAUACCUGGAGACAAAUGAAAAUGAAAACAGAACAUACCAAGUGUUACAGGAUGCAGCAAAAGUGGUACUAAGAGGGAAAUUUAUAGCAAUACAGGCCCCCCUCAACAAACAAAAAUCUCAAAUAAGUAAUCUUAACUAUGCCUAACAGAAGUAAAAAAAAGAAGAACAAAGUCCAAAGUCAGCAGAAGGGAGGAAAUAAUAAAAAUUAGAGCAGAAAUAAAUGAAAUAGAGACAAAAAAAAAAAAAACCAAUAGAAAGGAUCAAUGAAACUAUGAGCUGUUUCUUCAUAAAGAUACAAACAAAAUUGAUAAACCCUUAGCCAAAGUCACUAAGAAAAAAUGAAAGAAGACUCAAAUAAAUAAAAUUAAAAUGAAAGAGGAGAAAUUACAACAGAUACCACAGAAAUACAAAGGAUUAUAAGAGAAUACCAUGAAAAACUAUAUGCCAGCAAAUUGGACAACUUAGAAUAAAUGGAUAAAUUCUUAGACUCAUACAAACUCCCAAAACUGAAUCAAGAAGAAAUAGAGAAUCCGAAUAGACCAAUCACAAAUAAAGAGAGAGAAAUAGUAGUGAAAAACCUCCAAAAAACAAAAGUCUAGAUCAGAUGGCUUCUCUGGACAAUUCUACCAAACAUUCAAAGAAGAUUUUUUACCUAUCCUUCUCAAACUAUUCCAAAAAAUUGAAGAAGAUGGAACACUUCCUAACUCAUUCUAUGGUACCAGCAUUACCCUGUUACCAAAACCAGACAAGGACAACACAAAGAAGGAAAAUUACAGGCCAAUAUCGCAGAUGAACAUAGAUACAAAAAUCCUCAACAAAAUCGUGGCAACUCGAAUACAGCAAUACAUCAAAAACAUCAUACACUAUGAUCAAGUGGGAUUCACAAGCAGGGAUGGUUCAACAUCUGCAAAUCAAUCGUGUGAUACACCACAUUAACAAAAUGAGGAACAAAAACCACAUGAUCAUCUCAAUAGAUGCAGAGAAAGCAUUCGACAAGAUCCAACAUCCAUUUAUGAUAAAAAUUCUCAGUCAAGGGGCCGGCUCCGUAGCCGAGUGGUUAAGUUCGUGCACUCUGCUGUGGUGGCCCAGGGUUCGGAUCCUGGGAGUGGACAUAGCACUGCUCAUCAGGCCACAUUGAGGCGGCAUCCCACAUCCCACAACUAGAAUGACCUGCAACUAAGAUAUACAACUGUGUACAGGGGGGGGUUGGGGAGAUAAAGCAGAAAAGAAAAAAAAGAUUGGCAACAGUUUUUAGCCCAGGUGCCAAUCUUUGAAAAAAAGAAAAAAAGGAAGAUUGGCAACAGUUGUUAGCCCAGUGCCAAUCCUUAAAAAAAAAAAAAUUCUCAGUCAAAUGGGUAUAGAAGGAAAGUACCUCAGCAUAAUAAAGGCCAUAUAUGACAAACCCACAGCCAACAUCAUACUUAACAGUGUAAAACUGAAAGCCGUCCCUUUGAGAACAGGAACAAGACAAGGGUGUCCACUCUGACCACUCUUAUUCAACACAAUAUUGGAGGUUUUGGCCAGAGCAAUUAGGCAAGAAAAAGAAAUAAAAGGGAUCCAAACUGGAAAGGAAGAAGUGAAACUCUUGCUGUUUGCAGAUGACAUGAUUCUAUAUAGAGAAAACCCUAAAGAAUGCACCAGAAAACUAUUAAAAAUAAUAAACAACUACAGUAAAGUUGCAGGGUAAAAAAUCAACUUACAAUGAUCAGAUGGAUUUUGACACACUAUUAACUAACCAGCAGAAACAGAAGUCUAGGAUACAAUCCCAUUUACAAUCUCAACAAAAAGAAUAAAAUAUCAGGGCCAGUCCAGUGGUAUAGUGGUUAAGUUCAGCAUGCUCCACUUUGGUGGCCCAGGUUAACGGGUUUGGAUCCCAGGCAUGGACCUACAUCACUUGUCAGCCAUGCUGUGGCAGGGACCCACAUAUAAGGUGGAGGAAGAUUGGCACAGAUGUUAGCUCAGGGCUAAUCUUCCUCAGGAAAAAAAAAAGUAGCAAUAAAUUUAACCAAGAAAGUGAAAGACCUAUAUACUGAAAACUAUAAGACAUCAUUGAAGGAAAUCAAAGAAGACAUAAGGAAAUGGAAAGAUAUUCCAUGCCCAAGGAUUGGAAGAAUAAACAUAGUUAAAAUGUCCAUACUACCUAAAGCAAUAUACAGAUUCAAUGUAAUCCCAAUCAGAAUCCCAAUGACGUUUUUCACUGAAAUAGAACAAAGAAUCCUAAAAUCUGUAUAGAACAACAAAAGACCCCAAACAGCCAAAGCAAUCCUGAGAAAAAAGAACAAAGCUGGCGGCAACACAAUCUCUGACUUCAAAAUAUAGUACAAAGAUAUAGUAAUCAAAACAGCAUGGUACCGAUACAAAAACGGACACACAGAUCAAUGGAGCAGAAUGGAAAGCCCAGAAAUAAAACCACACACCCAUAAACAGCUGAUCUUCGACAAAGAAGCCAAGAACAUGCAAUGGAGAAAGAAAAGACACUUCAAUAAAUGGUGUUGGGAAAACUGGACAGCCACAUGCAGAAGAAUGAAAGUAGAGGGGCCGGCCCAUGGCAGAGUGGUUGAGUUGGCACGCUCCGCUUUGGCAGCCCAGGGAUUUGCUGGUUCAGACCCUGGGCGUGGACAUGGCACCAUGCUGAGGUGGUGUCCCACAUGCCACAACCAGAAGGACCCACAACUAAAAAUAUACAACAAUGUACUGGGGGGAUUUGGGGAGAAAAAGGAAAAAAAAUUUAAAAUCUUAAAAAAAAAAUAAACAACAGAUAGAUUAUUAAUAACAACUGCUCAGAAUGUGGCACAGAAUUAGGAGUUGUGCUAGUAGAUUGUUGAAAGCCCAGACUGAAGAACAGCACCUGACAUUUGUCUUUCUCCUCCCCAUUCUCUGAUCUUUUUCUCAAAGACCCAGAAGACCUCUCCAACCACGGAGCCUUUUAUUAGUCUCCUGGGGUUGCUGCAACAACUCAGGGGCUAAAAACAACAGAAAUGUAUUCCCUUGCAUGUCUGGCGUCUAGAUGUCUGAAAUUAAGGUGGGCAGGUCUGUGCUCCCUGUGGAGGUGGUAGAGAAGAGUCCUUCCUUGUCUCUUCCAGCUUCUGGUGGCUGCCCACACCUUGACAUUCCUCCGUUUAUGGAUGCACUAUUUCAGUCUCUUUCUCCAUUGUCACAUGGCCUUCUUCCCUCUGUCUCGGUGUUCCAAAUCUCCCUCCUCUUAUGAGGACCCCAGCUGUUGGAUUAGGGCCCACCCUACUCCAUUAUGACCUCAUCUCAACAUUAUGACAUCUGGAAAGACUCUAUUUCCAAUUAAGGUGACAUUCACAGGUGUGAGGGUGAAGGAUGGGUAUGUUAAGACUUCAGCAUAUUUUUUGGAGGGGCACAAUUCCACCCACCCUAGGGCCCUCUCCUAGGCCUUUCUCGUAGGACAAUGCCCAAUGCACUACCUACACCUAGUGUUCUAAAGUGGAGUGCAGGCCGCUUAGGAUGUUGGAAUAAGUAUUCUGGUUUGUAUUUGUGUUUAUUUUUAUUUAAAUUUGAAAUUAAACUCAACUCAUCGUUAGCAUGUGGAGUUUUGACCCUGGCACCCUGUCAUUUGUACAUUAGUCUUCAGUGUCUCAUGUGCUAUUCUGAGGAAAGGGUAGGAGUUCCUGACUUGGAGGCGUUGAGAGUGGCACCAUCGCUCCUUAGAAUAUUGGGUCAAUUGCAAAUGACACAAACGUGUCACUAGAUCUGUAGCUUGUGUUGAUGAAAGCAACCCUUACGAAAUCAACCUAUGGCUUUGAAAAGAGUGCCCCACAGCUGCAAUUCUCAAGUGCCUUCUGGGGACCCACGGGUGAUCUGUGAGCCCCGAAUACAUAGCCCUAGACAUUGUGGGCCUUUUGGCACUCUCAGUCUGUCACGAAUACACACUGGAGUUUUCCAGAGGUUCCAUGACGUGUGAUGAUGUCAUUCCUCAGCCACAAAUAGAAUGUGUGCUUGUGGAUUCUUAUUCUUUGGCAGCCGGAAUUCUGGAUAUGAAUCAGGUCCUGCCAACAAGAUGUAGUAAGGAGAGGUGAAAGGUGGAGAUGAGACGGAAAGCGUCUUCUCGUGGCUGAGAGGGCUGAGGUGGUGUGUUCACGGUGGAGUCCCACGUCUAGCCCCCAGCUUCACAACUACACGGCGGUUCUAGCAGCUUCCUGAUCUUUGCAUUGCACGUCCAGGGAUGUGAUCUUGAACCAAAGUCCGGUGGCAGCCUCUGACAUCUGCUCUUCCAACCCUUUCAAUGAGUUUCUUAGUACCUUAUUCCCUGUAUUAAAUCCCUUUUUGUUUAAUAUGUUUAGAGUGGUUUCUAUUCUUAAACCAAUCACUGGCUGAUAAACAUCUUAUUUUUUUUUAAGGACAAAAAAACCUUUCCCAAAGUUCUCUAGAAGAGAUCCCUUCGUGUCUCAUCGAGAACUGGGUCACACACUCACCCCUAAGGGCCCACCAUGAUUGGUUUAAACUCCUAACGUGGUCUGGAAGCCCUGGAGAUCCUUUUAGGUAGUUCAAACUGUUUUCAUUUUUCAUAUUUUCCUGUUCCUUCUCAUUCUCUCAGGAGUGGAUGGUGGGGUCUUCCAGAGGCUGCAUGACCUGGGAUGG
Equus caballus (horse) is the source of this 5712-nucleotide long non-coding RNA. The record is from Ensembl. NCBI's taxonomy places the organism in Eukaryota, Metazoa, Chordata, Mammalia, Perissodactyla, Equidae.